Molecule: ribosomal RNA, 270 nt
Filed under: uncultured archaeon
Lineage: Archaea
Description: partial 16S ribosomal RNA
Rfam family: Archaeal small subunit ribosomal RNA
Source: RNAcentral
CAGCACCACAAGUGGUCAGGAUGAUUAUUGGGCCUAAAGCAUCCGUAGCCGGCGCUGUAAGUUUUCGGUUAAAUCUCUACGCUCAACGUACAGGCUGCCGGGAAUACUGCAGCGCUAGGGAGUGGGAGAGGUAGACGGUACUCGGUAGGAAGGGGUAAAAUCCUUUGAUCUAUUGAUGACCACCUGUGGCGAAGGCGGUCUACCAGAACACGUCCGACGGUGAGGGAUGAAAGCUGGGGGAGCAAACCGGAUUAGAUACCCGAGUAGUCC